UACGUAGGGGGCAAGCGUUGUCCGGAUUUAUUGGGCGUAAAGAGCUCGUAGGCGGCUCACUAAGUCGGAUGUGAAAACUCCAGGCUCAACCUGGAGACGCCAUUCGAUACUGCUGUGACUGGAGUCCGGUAGGGGAGCGUGGAAUUCCUGGUGUAGCGGUGAAAUGCGCAGAUAUCAGGAGGAACACCAGCGGCGAAGGCGGCGCUCUGGGCCGGUACUGACACUGAGGAGCGAAAGCGUGGGUAGCAAACAGG
Molecule: ribosomal RNA, 254 nt
Filed under: uncultured bacterium
Lineage: Bacteria
Description: partial 16S ribosomal RNA
Rfam family: Bacterial small subunit ribosomal RNA
Source: RNAcentral